RNAcentral lists this ribosomal RNA (339 nucleotides) under uncultured Pseudomonadota bacterium. RNAcentral's name for it is "bacterial SSU rRNA". It matches the Rfam family "Bacterial small subunit ribosomal RNA", at positions 29 to 351 of the family's 1533-position model. The record is from RNAcentral. Lineage: Bacteria; Pseudomonadati; Pseudomonadota.
AACGAACGCUGGCGGCGUGCCUAACACAUGCAAGUCGAACGAGAAAGGGGCUUCGGCUCCGAGUAAAGUGGCGCACGGGUGAGUAACACGUGGGUAACCUGCCUCUAAGAUUGGAACAACUCGUCGAAAGAUGAGCUAAUACCGGAUAAGACCACAGUUCCUGCGGGAGAAGUGGUCAAAGGUAGCCUCUGCUUGCAAGCUAUCACUUAGAGAUGGGCCUGCGCACCAUUAGCUAGUUGGUAGGGUAACGGCCUACCAAGGCGACGAUCCGUAGCUGGUCUGAGAGGACGAUCAGCCACACUGGGACUGAGACACGGCCCAGACACCUACGGGUGGCUG